AACUUCCCACCGGUCACAUCUGCGUCGACGCGCCGAGGAGGGAAUGCGCGCGGAUGUUGGGGGGAGGGGCUAUCGGAAGGCACGAAAUAGAGAAACAUCAUAGGUACGUUAUGAUGGUGAAGAGGCCGGAUGGGCAUGAGGGUAGAGCGACCGUGGGAAAACAACCUCGCCAAACAGAUGUACCUAAAGGCUGCUGAACACAGUUCAGUUAUUUCUUGUCCUCUCCUGAAUGUGCGAACUCGGCCAAAUAUUUAAGCUGACAAGGGCCUUAAACAUCAGUCAACUUUCCUCAGUCCUAAUCUUGUCACACAUUCAGGUCUCCUAUCUUGGGCCACCAUCCUACCACAACCAGACAACAGUUCAAAGGAUUUGGUAAAACUUUGAAACCAAAGGAUUUAGCAGCCAAAAGUAGAUGGAAAAACAUGGGAAACUCACCUUACGCUAAGAUUGUCCAUUAUGGUGGCACAACACUUCUGCAAUAAUAAAAUAAUUCAUUAGACCAACUAA
Long non-coding RNA from Daphnia magna, 507 nucleotides. RefSeq lists it as uncharacterized. Lineage: Eukaryota; Metazoa; Arthropoda; Branchiopoda; Diplostraca; Daphniidae. The transcript has 2 exons. The record is from RefSeq and is a predicted model, not a curated record.